Non-coding RNA from Paramuricea clavata, 673 nucleotides. The record is from the annotation of a GenBank genome assembly. Lineage: Eukaryota; Metazoa; Cnidaria; Anthozoa; Malacalcyonacea; Plexauridae.
CUCGUUCUCAUGCAUCAGAAGAAGAAAAUCGCAGAAGUGUAAACGGGCCUCUUUAGUUAUACGGUGAAUAUCAGGAUUUUGGGCAUCCAAAGUACUAAAAUGUUGAAGGGUUUUGUAUAGAUGGAAAUUUCGAGUGUAAAAUUAUUGCUGCCGAAUGCAGCAUUCUAAUCUUCACGGUAUUACUGUAGUGCCCAGUUUCUUUGACCGAGUUAUAAUUAUUGGACGUGAAAUCUCGAUUUUCAUCUUAUUGAGGGAGGUCAAGGGGGGGGGAUCAUGUCGGAAAUAUUCAUCGUACGUUACACAUCUAUCGGUAUUAUAUAGUAUCCGCCUUUAAAGAAUUUUUUAUGGUAAAUAUAGUCGUUUGUUAAGAAUAAAUUAUGUCUUUAGUUGCUCGUGGAAGUAUUCAGCAGGGCCACGAACUCUUUAGUGAACAAUUGCGAGGGAAACAAUGCUCGUUUAUGUGUUUAUCGGCGCUCUUUAUAACUGCUCAAGCCAUGCCCGUUUUUCAGUGGACCACAUGUAAAUUAGAUAUAAAUACUUCAUAGUUUGCCUCAUUGGGCUGUACUUCAUAGUUUGCCUCAUUGGGCUAUAUUUCUGCCUUCAUUGGGCUGUAUUUCUGCCUUAUCGGGCUGUAUUUGUGCCUCACUGGGCUGUAUUGGUGCCUCAUCCGGCU